Molecule: ribosomal RNA, 921 nt
Filed under: Triticum aestivum (bread wheat)
Lineage: Eukaryota; Viridiplantae; Streptophyta; Magnoliopsida; Poales; Poaceae
Description: partial small subunit ribosomal RNA
Source: RNAcentral
AUGGCGUGCACCAUGUGUCGCCCCCUUUCGCUCCUUGGCCUCUUCCUCAUCCUGACGCCGCUGCUGUGUGGGUGCACCGGCGGCGGGUUCAGCGUGGAGCUCAUCCACCGGGACUCCCCGAGGUCGCCGUUCCACGACCCGUCGCUCACCCCGCGCGCCCGCGUGCUUGCCGCCGUGCGGCGCUCGUACGCCGGCUCAGGCUCUCCUGGCCCUGACGGCGCGGUGUCGGAGGUGAUCUCAGGCACGUUCCAGUUCUUCAUGUACAUGAGCGCCGCGACGUCGCUCCCCCGGAGGUUCUCCUACUGCCUCACGCCCUACUUAAGCGACGUGUCCUCCGCGCUCAACUUCGGGUCCCGCGCCACCGUGACGGAGCCGGGCGCGGUGACCACUCCGAUGGUGCACUCCCCCGUGCACGUGGAGGCUUUCUACACCGUCGAGAUCGUGGCCCUCAGGAUCGGGAGCUCGAUCAUCAAGCUGCCGAAGCGGUCCCCCGUCAUCGUCGACUCCGGGUCGCUGCUGACGUCCCUCGACAAGGAAUUGCUGGACCCCGUCGUGGAGGCGGUCACCGGGAGCAUCAAGCUCCCGCGCAAGCCGCCGCCGUCGCCGAACCCGGAAAUGUUUUCGGUGUGCUACGAGGCGGACGGCAUGAAGGCGCUGGAGAAGGUAUUCCCGGACGUGACGUUGGAGCUGGGCGGGGGCGCCUUGCUCACGCUCAAGGCGGAGAACUUGUUCAUGGACCUUCUGCUACGGACCGUGUGCUUGGCCGUGGUGCCGGUGACGUAUGAGGGGUCGGUGCCGACGAUCGGCAGCAUCUUGCAGCAGAACAUGCACGUCGGCUACGACCUCGACAAGCGCACCAUCACCUUCGCCCCUGCCGACUGCGCCACCUCCUACCCCUCUCCUCCCGCCUCAUCUGUGUAG